Molecule: transfer RNA, 77 nt
Filed under: Pedobacter sp.
Lineage: Bacteria; Pseudomonadati; Bacteroidota; Sphingobacteriia; Sphingobacteriales; Sphingobacteriaceae
Description: tRNA-Met
Rfam family: tRNA
About the family: Transfer RNA (tRNA) molecules are approximately 80 nucleotides in length. Their secondary structure includes four short double-helical elements and three loops (D, anti-codon, and T loops). Further hydrogen bonds mediate the characteristic L-shaped molecular structure. tRNAs have two regions of fundamental functional importance: the anti-codon, which is responsible for specific mRNA codon recognition, and the 3' end, to which the tRNAs corresponding amino acid is attached (by aminoacyl-tRNA synthetases). tRNAs cope with the degeneracy of the genetic code in two manners: having more than one tRNA (with a specific anti-codon) for a particular amino acid; and 'wobble' base-pairing, i.e. permitting non-standard base-pairing at the 3rd anti-codon position.
Source: RNAcentral
UGCGGGGUGGAGCAGUUGGCAGCUCGUCGGGCUCAUAACCCGAAGGUCGCACGUUCGAGUCGUGUCCCCGCUACCCA